CAGGCACCAGAAUGUUCUUUUAUUGCUUGCAUGACAAAGAGGAAAGAAAAAGAGAGGAAUGGGAUAGACCAGUGGUUCUCCAAGUGUGGUAGCUGAACCAGGUUCAUCCACGACACUAGGGAACUUAAUAGGACUGUAGAAUCUGAGGUCCCACCCCAGACCUACUAAAUCAGCAACUCUGAGGACCAGGGUCCGUCCAGCUUGUGGUUUAACAAGCCAGCCAGGUGAUUCCAAUAUCAGCUAAACUCUGCGAUCCACAGGUACAGACAUUUUACCUCUUUAAUCUUAAUUUAAAAAACCUCAUCUUCUCUGCCCGAGCCCAACGCUUCUGCCCGGGACAUGGAGGACCUAGACGUGCAGGACUGGGCUGUCAGCACCAGGGUGAUCCUGCCAUCCUGCAGUGAUGGAGAUUUUGCUCUCAUUGAGUCUGUCUGGAUUAUUUCUGGUUCAUGGACAAUCUGGUUUAUUCCUGUCUUCAUAUCAUCUGGACCUCUUUCCUGGUGCCUAUUUCCCAGGAUACUACCUCCAGUACAAUGUUGAAUAGAAGUGGUGAAAAAAGGAGAAAGAUUCUUAGGAGAACAAAUUCUUUCAUGGGAAGACACACCGUCAGAAAGUUAAGUUUUGACACAAGUACAAAACCUCGGACAGUGUCUUUGAAUAAUAAAGAGAAGAAAGAACAACUCUUCCUGGGGAUGCCUGUCCUAGUGUAAGCAGGUUACACGAGAAGACAAUUGUGUUUGAUGGUACAAGAACCUGAAUUCUGGAACCAGAUAGUCUCUGCUUGAAUUGAGAUUCUGUCACCAACAUGCUAUGUGACCGUGAGCAAAUAAUUUGACUUCCUGUGCCUCAGUUUCUUCCUCUAAAAUGUAGAUAAUGAUGAAUAAUAAUAGCUAUUGGUUGUUGAGUAUAAUAAAUAAUUCAGUGUAUACAAAGGUGUUUGCACAGUGCUUGGAAACACAGGUAAAGCCAUGUAAGGAUGGCUCUUGUAAUAGGAAAGCUAGGCCUUGAAAUGAGAGGUGACAGGUGCCAGGCAC
This 1034-nucleotide long non-coding RNA is filed under the name Homo sapiens (human). Its description in RNAcentral is "HSALNT0264510". Lineage: Eukaryota; Metazoa; Chordata; Mammalia; Primates; Hominidae. The record is from RNAcentral.